RNAcentral lists this ribosomal RNA (253 nucleotides) under uncultured bacterium. RNAcentral describes it as "partial 16S ribosomal RNA". It matches the Rfam family "Bacterial small subunit ribosomal RNA", at positions 524 to 776 of the family's 1533-position model. The record is from RNAcentral.
UACGAAGGGGGCUAGCGUUGUUCGGAAUUACUGGGCGUAAAGCGUGCGCAGGCGGCUUCUCAAGUCAGGGGUGAAAGCCCAGAGCUCAACUCUGGAAUUGCCUUUGAGACUGAGUGGCUUGAGUACGGGAGAGGUGAGUGGAAUUCCCAGUGUAGAGGUGAAAUUCGUAGAUAUUGGGAAGAACACCGGUGGCGAAGGCGGCUCACUGGCUCGUAACUGACGCUCAUGCACGACAGCGUGGGGAUCAAACAGG